GAUGAACGCUGGCGGCGUGCCUAAUACAUGCAAGUCGAGCGAACGGACGAGAAGCUUGCUUCACUGAUGUUAGCGGCGGACGGGUGAGUAACACGUGGAUAACCUACCUAUAAGACUGGGAUAACUUCGGGAAACCGGAGCUAAUACCGGAUAAUAUUUUGAACCGCAUGGUUCAAAAGUGAAAGACGGUCUUGCUGUCACUUAUAGAUGGAUCCGCGCUGCAUUAGCUAGUUGGUGAGGUAACGGCUUACCAAGGCAACGAUGCAUAGCCGACCUGAGAGGGUGAUCGGCCACACUGGAACUGAGACACGGUCCAGACUCCUACGGGAGGCAGCAGUAGGGAAUCUUCCGCAAUGGGCGAAAGCCUGACGGAGCAACGCCGCGUGAGUGAUGAAGGUCUUCGGAUCGUAAAACUCUGUUAUUAGGGAAGAACAUAUGUGUAAGUAACUGUGCACAUCUUGACGGUACCUAAUCAGAAAGCCACGGCUAACUACGUG
RNAcentral lists this ribosomal RNA (497 nucleotides) under uncultured bacterium. RNAcentral describes it as "partial 16S ribosomal RNA". It matches the Rfam family "Bacterial small subunit ribosomal RNA", at positions 28 to 507 of the family's 1533-position model. The record is from RNAcentral.